Molecule: ribosomal RNA, 623 nt
Filed under: fungal sp. ARIZ L38
Lineage: Eukaryota; Fungi
Description: eukaryotic LSU rRNA
Rfam family: 5.8S ribosomal RNA (bases 241-394)
Source: RNAcentral
GUAACAAGGUCUCCGUUGGUGAACCAGCGGAGGGAUCAUUACCGAGUUUACAACUCCCAAACCCAAUGUGAACGUUACCAAACUGUUGCCUCGGCGGGAUCUCUGCCCCGGGUGCGUCGCAGCCCCGGACCAAGGCGCCCGCCGGAGGACCAACCAAAACUCUUUUGUAUACCCCCUCGCGGGUUUUUUUAUAUCUGAGCCAUCUCGGCGCCUCUCGUAGGCGUUUCGAAAAUGAAUCAAAACUUUCAACAACGGAUCUCUUGGUUCUGGCAUCGAUGAAGAACGCAGCGAAAUGCGAUAAGUAAUGUGAAUUGCAGAAUUCAGUGAAUCAUCGAAUCUUUGAACGCACAUUGCGCCCGCCAGUAUUCUGGCGGGCAUGCCUGUCCGAGCGUCAUUUCAACCCUCGAACCCCUCCGGGGGGUCGGCGUUGGGGAUCGGCCCUUUACGGGGCCGGCCCCGAAAUACAGUGGCGGUCUCGCCGCAGCCUCUCCUGCGCAGUAGUUUGCACACUCGCAUCGGGAGCGCGGCGCGUCCAUUGCCGUAAAACACCCAACUUUCUGAAAUGUUGACCUCGGAUCRGGUARGAAUACCCGCURAACUUAAGCAUAUCAAUAAGCGGAGGA